CAUUAGAUGACUGAAAGCAAGUACUGGUCUCUUAAACCAUUUAAUAAUACAUUAGCGCGUAUUUCUAAUGA
RNAcentral lists this transfer RNA (71 nucleotides) under Cryptolestes ferrugineus. RNAcentral describes it as "tRNA-Lys". Lineage: Eukaryota; Metazoa; Arthropoda; Insecta; Coleoptera; Laemophloeidae. The record is from RNAcentral.